This 315-nucleotide unclassified non-coding RNA is filed under the name plant metagenome. RNAcentral's name for it is "partial contains 5.8S ribosomal RNA, internal transcribed spacer 2, and large subunit ribosomal RNA". The stretch from base 1 to 105 matches the Rfam family "5.8S ribosomal RNA", at positions 50 to 154 of the family's 154-position model. The record is from RNAcentral.
GAACUGCGAUAAGUAAUGUGAAUUGCAGAAUUCAGUGAAUCAUCGAGUCUUUGAACGCACAUUGCGCCCCCUGGCAUUCCGGGGGGCAUGCCUGUCCGAGCGUCAUUGCUGCCCAUCAAGCCCGGCUUGUGUGUUGGGUCGUCGUCCCCCCCGGGGGACGGGCCCGAAAGGCAGCGGCGGCACCGUGUCCGGUCCUCGAGCGUAUGGGGCUUUGUCACCCGCUCGACUAGGGCCGGCCGGGCGCCAGCCAACGUCUCCAACCAUUUUUCUUCAGGUUGACCUCGGAUCAGGUAGGGAUACCCGCUGAACUUAAGC